This 101-nucleotide transfer RNA is filed under the name Duganella sp. HH105. Its description in RNAcentral is "tRNA-Arg". The record is from RNAcentral. Lineage: Bacteria; Pseudomonadati; Pseudomonadota; Betaproteobacteria; Burkholderiales; Oxalobacteraceae.
UGCCGAGCUGGAGUACGAACCUUACUUCCUGACGGUCUACGACAUCGUCCGCUACGCCCGCUCGCAGGGCAUCCUGUGCCAGGGCAGGGGAUCGGCGGCCA